Molecule: long non-coding RNA, 1243 nt
Filed under: Homo sapiens (human)
Lineage: Eukaryota; Metazoa; Chordata; Mammalia; Primates; Hominidae
Description: HSALNT0254431
Source: RNAcentral
GUAGCUGGGACCACAGAUGCGGGCCACCAUGCCUGGGAAUCUCCAAGAUAAACGCUGCCUGGGUAGCAAGCAAUGGGGAAGGAACCCUCCUCCCCCUCCCCUGGUUAGGCCCUGUUUGUCCUUAGAAGCCUUGGCACCGGCUCCCUCCUGUCUCUCAGCUGCCCUCAGGAGAGGAAGGGCUGCUCCCCAGUGGGGUCCAUGCAGCAGCCCCAGCAGGAUGGUUUCUGACAGGGAGGGGCUGGUGAGGAGGGGAAGCCGGGCAGCCUUCCUGGAGGAGGCGGGCCUUACUGGUUGAAGCAGUGGGCGGCAGACAGCAGCCAGCGGUCCCCCACCACAGUUGCUCCGCAGAAGUGCCGGGACCCUUCCUUCAGGCUGACCUGCCAGGGCACCUCCCCGGAGGCAGCUCCGAACCCGCCCACGACCCGGGUGGGCUUCUCCAUUGCAGGCCUGGCCCCACAUUCUGGAAGGAGGACACAAGACCAGGUCUGGGGAUCUUGGCCUGCUCGGGUGGGAGCAUCCGGUGGGGUGGUCCCAGGACACCGGUUGCAGCCAGGCCCUGAAGAUGCCGCAAUCCCUCCCGUUCCACACAAGAAGCCGUGGAGGCUUCAAGGUGUCCGUAGUUUGCCCAAGGUCCUGCAGCAAGUUCGUGGCCUCGCUUCGGGGACAGAAGUUAAGAAAGAAACAUACAGCGGCCCAGUCAGCCCGAGGACCCCCCGCAACAGACCCCACCACAGACCCGCAGCCCACAAAGCCAGGUUUAUGGCCUCCUUGCAAAGACGGGGCUGCACUCCAGGAGACCCAUGGGGCGGCUGAGAAAAGGAAGGGUACGAUUGUUAGGGGGUUUCGGAACAGAGUGUGGGGUGUAGGUGAACUGAAAUGAAGCGUGAGCCACCGUGCCCAGCCCUGGAACCUUCUUGAGUUGAGCCUGCAGCUCACUCAUGGCCCAGCUGACCACCCAGGGGCAAAAGUCCACGGGGUUCCCAUAGACCAACCCUUCCCAUACAGACGGAGAGAAUCUGAUGCCCAGGGUAUGUGCUGGCAUCAUUCAUACAAGAGGUGUUUCUUGGGUGCCACGUUGUAUCAGGCCCAGUGCUGGGAACAGUGUCUGUGUCCCCACACAAGUCCCGGUUUGGAGGGCAGCUGGGGGGGAUUUACACAGGGACCCCAUCAUAGCCAGGGAGAUUACUCAGGGACCCCAGGCUCUGUGGCACGCACCUGGGGCCCACUGGAAGGGAGCAGGGAG